RNAcentral lists this ribosomal RNA (502 nucleotides) under uncultured bacterium. Its description in RNAcentral is "partial 16S ribosomal RNA". It matches the Rfam family "Bacterial small subunit ribosomal RNA", at positions 30 to 523 of the family's 1533-position model. The record is from RNAcentral.
AUUGAACGCUGGCGGCAGGCUUAACACAUGCAAGUCGAGCGGGGUGAUGGUGCUUGCACUAUCACUUAGCGGCGGACGGGUGAGUAAUGCUUAGGAAUCUGCCUAUUAGUGGGGGACAACAUCUCGAAAGGGAUGCUAAUACCGCAUACGCCCUACGGGAGAAAGCAGGGGAUCACUUGUGACCUUGCGCUUAUAGAUGAGCCUAAGUCGGAUUAGCUAGUUGGUGGGGAAAAGGCCUACCAAGGCCACGAUCUGUAGCGGGUCUGAGAGGAUGAUCCGCCACACUGGGACUGAGACACGGCCCAGACUCCUACGGGAGGAAGCAGUGGGGAAUAUUGGACAAUGGGGGGAACCCUGAUCCAGCCAUGCCGCGUGUGUGAAGAAGGCCUUAUGGUUGUAAAGCACUUUAAGCGAGGAGGAGGCUCUUUUGGUUAAUACCCAAGAUGAGUGGACGUUACUAGCAGAAUAAGCACCGGCUAACUCUGUGCAGCCGCCGCGGUAA